RNAcentral lists this ribosomal RNA (484 nucleotides) under uncultured bacterium. RNAcentral describes it as "partial 16S ribosomal RNA". It matches the Rfam family "Bacterial small subunit ribosomal RNA", at positions 30 to 507 of the family's 1533-position model. The record is from RNAcentral.
AUUGAACGCUGGCGGCAGGCCUAACACAUGCAAGUCGAGCGGAUGAAGGGAGCUUGCUCCUGGAGUCAGCGGCGGACGGGUGAGUAAUGCCUAGGAAUCUGCCUGGUAUUGGGGGAUAACGUCCGGAAACGGGCGCUAAUACCGCAUACGUCGUGAGGGAGAAAGUGGGGGAGCUUCGGACCUCACGCUAUCAGAUGAGCCUAGGUCGGAUUAGCUAGUUGGUGGGGUAAAGGCCUACCAAGGCGACGAUCCGUAACUGGUCUGAGAGGAUGAUCAGUCACACUGGAACUGAGACACGGUCCAGACUCCUACGGGAGGCAGCAGUGGGGAAUAUUGGACAAUGGGCGAAAGCCUGAUCCAGCCAUGCCGCGUGUGUGAAGAAGGUCUUCGGAUUGUAAAGCACUUUAAGUUGGGAGGAAGGGCAGUAAGUUAAUACCUUGCUGUUUUGACGUUACCAACAGAAUAAGCACCGGCUAACUUCGUG